Molecule: ribosomal RNA, 464 nt
Filed under: Vreelandella stevensii
Lineage: Bacteria; Pseudomonadati; Pseudomonadota; Gammaproteobacteria; Oceanospirillales; Halomonadaceae
Description: partial 16S ribosomal RNA
Rfam family: Bacterial small subunit ribosomal RNA
Source: RNAcentral
CCUCGGGGGGCAGCAGUGGGGAAUAUUGGACAAUGGGCGAAAGCCUGAUCCAGCCAUGCCGCGUGUGUGAAGAAGGCCUUCGGGUUGUAAAGCACUUUCAGUGGGGAAGAAAGCCUUGGGGCUAAUACCCUCGAGGAAGGACAUCACCCACAGAAGAAGCACCGGCUAACUCCGUGCCAGCAGCCGCGGUAAUACGGAGGGUGCGAGCGUUAAUCGGAAUUACUGGGCGUAAAGCGCGCGUAGGCGGUCUGAUAAGCCGGUUGUGAAAGCCCCGGGCUCAACCUGGGAACGGCAUCCGGAACUGUCAGGCUAGAGUGCAGGAGAGGAAGGUAGAAUUCCCGGUGUAGCGGUGAAAUGCGUAGAGAUCGGGAGGAAUACCAGUGGCGAAGGCGGCCUUCUGGACUGACACUGACGCUGAGGUGCGAAAGCGUGGGUAGCAAACAGGAUUAGAUACCCGUGUAGUC